GAUGAAGAACGCAGCGAAAUGCGAUAAGUAAUGUGAAUUGCAGAAUUCAGUGAAUCAUCGAAUCUUUGAACGCACAUUGCGCCCCUUGGUAUUCCGGGGGGCAUGCCUGUUCGAGCGUCAUUAUAACCCUCAAGCCUAGCUUGGUGUUGGAGCAUGCUACCUAAGCAGCUCUUAAAAUCAGUGGCAGUGCCCUUCGGCUCUAAGCGUAGUAACUUCUCUCGCUAUGGAACCCGGAGGGUACGCGCCAGAACCCCCAACUUUCUAUGGUUGACCUCGGAUCAGGUAGGGAUACCCGCUGAACUUAAGCAUAUCAAUAAGCGGAGGA
RNAcentral lists this unclassified non-coding RNA (325 nucleotides) under soil metagenome. Its description in RNAcentral is "partial contains 5.8S ribosomal RNA, internal transcribed spacer 2, and large subunit ribosomal RNA". The stretch from base 1 to 120 matches the Rfam family "5.8S ribosomal RNA", at positions 35 to 154 of the family's 154-position model. The record is from RNAcentral.